GGGGAUAUAGUUCAACGGUAGAAUAGUUCCUUUCAACAGAUGAUUCUUGGAAAAGACGAUGGGUUCAACUCCUAUAAUCCCCA
Molecule: transfer RNA, 83 nt
Organism: Entamoeba invadens IP1
Lineage: Eukaryota; Evosea; Mastigamoebida; Endamoebidae
Rfam family: tRNA
About the family: Transfer RNA (tRNA) molecules are approximately 80 nucleotides in length. Their secondary structure includes four short double-helical elements and three loops (D, anti-codon, and T loops).
Source: Rfam